AUCCCCUGGAAUUGGGGGAUAAACGUUAGCCGAAAGUUACGCUUAUACCGCAUACGAUCCUAAGGAUUGAAAGUGGGGGAUCGCAAGGACUUCAUUGCUCGUGGAGCGGCCGAUAUCUGAAUUACCUAGUUGGUAGGGUAAAAGCCUACCAAAGGCAUCGAUCAGUAGUUGGUCUGAGAGGACGACCAGCCACACUGGAAACUGAGACACGGUCCAGACUCUACGGGAGGCAGCAGUGGGGAAUUUUUGGACAAUGGGCGAAAGCCUGAUCCAGCAAUGCCCGCGUGAGUGAAGAAGGCCUUCGGGUUGUAAAGCUCUUUUUGUCAGGGAAGAAACGGUGAGAGCUAAUAUCUCUUGCUAAUGACGGUACCUGAAGAAUAAGCACCGGCUAACUACGUGCCAGCAGCCGCGGUAAUACGUAGGGUGCAAGCGUUAAUCGGAAUUACUGGGCGUAAAGCGUGCGCAGGCGGUUUUGUAAGUCUGAUGUGAAAUCCCCGGGCUCAACCUGGGAAUUGCAUUGGAGACUGCAAGGCUAGAAUCUGGCAGAGGGGGGUAGAAUUCCACGUGUAGCAGUGAAAUGCGUAGAUAUGUGGAGGAACACCGAUGGCGAAGGCAGCCCCCUGGGUCAAGAUUGACGCUCAUGCACGAAAGCGUGGGGAGCAAACAGGAUUAGAUACCCUGGUAGUCCACGCCCUAAACGAUGUCUACUAGUUGUCGGGUCUUAAUUGACUUGGUAACGCAGCUAACGCGUGAAGUAGACCGCCUGGGGAGUACGGUCGCAAGAUUAAAACUCAAAGGAAUUGACGGGGACCCGCACAAGCGGUGGAUGAUGUGGAUUAAUUCGAUGCAACGCGAAAAACCUUACCUACCCUUUGACAUGGAUUGGAAUCCCGGAAGAGAUUUGGGAGUUUUGAAAAAGAGAUUCC
RNAcentral lists this ribosomal RNA (926 nucleotides) under Janthinobacterium lividum. RNAcentral's name for it is "bacterial SSU rRNA". It matches the Rfam family "Bacterial small subunit ribosomal RNA", at positions 126 to 1032 of the family's 1533-position model. Lineage: Bacteria; Pseudomonadati; Pseudomonadota; Betaproteobacteria; Burkholderiales; Oxalobacteraceae. The record is from RNAcentral.